This 828-nucleotide ribosomal RNA is filed under the name uncultured bacterium. RNAcentral describes it as "bacterial SSU rRNA". It matches the Rfam family "Bacterial small subunit ribosomal RNA", at positions 8 to 831 of the family's 1533-position model. The record is from RNAcentral.
AGAGUUUGAUCCUGGCUCAGAUUGAACGCUGGCGGCAUGCCUUACACAUGCAAGUCGAACGGCAGCACGGGGGCAACCCUGGUGGCGAGUGGCGAACGGGUGAGUAAUAUAUCGGAACGUGCCCUAGGGUGGGGGAUAACGUAGCGAAAGUUACGCUAAUACCGCAUACGAUCUAAGGAUGAAAGCGGGGGAUCGCAAGACCUCGCGCUCGUGGAGCGGCCGAUAUCCGAUUAGCUAGUUGGUAGGGUAAAAGCCUACCAAGGCGACGAUCAGUAGCUGGUCUGAGAGGACGACCAGCCACACUGGGACUGAGACACGGCCCAGACUCCUACGGGAGGCAGCAGUGGGGAAUUUUGGACAAUGGGGGCAACCCUGAUCCAGCAAUGCCGCGUGUGUGAAGAAGGCCUUCGGGUUGUAAAGCACUUUUGUCAGGAACGAAACGGCUCUGGUUAAUACCUGGGGCUAAUGACGGUACCUGAAGAAUAAGCACCGGCUAACUACGUGCCAGCAGCCGCGGUAAUACGUAGGGUGCAAGCGUUAAUCGGAAUUACUGGGCGUAAAGCGUGCGCAGGCGGUUUUGUAAGACAGAUGUGAAAUGCCCGGGCUUAACCUGGGAACUGCAUUUGUGACUGCAAGGCUAGAAUCUGGCAGAGGGGGGUAGAAUUCCACGUGUAGCAGUGAAAUGCGUAGAUAUGUGGAGGAAUACCGAUGGCGAAGGCAGCCCCCUGGGCUAAGAUUGACGCUCAUGCACGAAAGCGUGGGGAGUAAACAGGAUUAGAUACCCUGGUAGUCCACGCCCUAAACGAUGUCUACUAGUUGUCGGGUCUU